Molecule: unclassified non-coding RNA, 355 nt
Filed under: Hevea brasiliensis (rubber tree)
Lineage: Eukaryota; Viridiplantae; Streptophyta; Magnoliopsida; Malpighiales; Euphorbiaceae
Source: RNAcentral
AGCUGAGGCACAUUCCACAGUUCUCUGAGUUCUCUUUCUCAGAGAUUGAAGAAGCAACGCAGAACUUUAAUCCAUCACUCAAGAUUGGGGAAGGGGGAUAUGGUAACAUUUAUAAAGGUCUGUUAGGUCNNNNNNNNNUGCUGAGCUCUCAUAGCUCUCAAGGACCUGCAGAAUAUCAACAGGAGGUUGGUGUUUUGAGCAAGAUGAGGCAUCGAAAUCUUAUCACUCUUAUUGGGGCUUGUCCAGAAACUUGGACUCUUAUCUAUGAGUAUCUUCCCAAUGGAAGCCUUGAAGACCGACUGAACUGCAGGGAUAAUUCUCCUCCUUUGUCUUGGCAAACUCGAAUACGCAUCGC